This is a non-coding RNA of Vicia faba (fava bean), 264 nucleotides long. Lineage: Eukaryota; Viridiplantae; Streptophyta; Magnoliopsida; Fabales; Fabaceae. The record is from the annotation of a GenBank genome assembly.
AUGCGCCAUCUUUCCAUCACCAAUGACAAAAGAAAUAGAUCGGAGAUUCAUUUGUUUUCUCUCUUCCAUCAUUCACCUUUCUGUCAUCUCCGCGAUACCCUUCCAUUUCACGACCAUCACCCUUCCGUGAACAACAGCCGCAGCACAAACUCACCGUCGCCAACAUCACUUCCGCGACAUCCUCAUCACCUGUUCUCCACCGUCUUCACCCAACAUCCGUAUGAUCAUCCUCAGCAACCCACAGCAACAUCCGUAACGGUCUAA